AACGAACGCUGGCGGCAGGCCUAACACAUGCAAGUCGAACGCCCCGCAAGGGGAGUGGCAGACGGGUGAGUAACACGUGGGAACAUACCCUUCGGUUCGGAAUAACUCAGGGAAACUUGAGCUAAGACCGGAUACGUCCGCGAGGAGAAAGAUUCAUCGCCGGAGGAUUGGCCCGCGUCCGAUUAGCUAGUUGGUGAGGUAACGGCUCACCAAGGCGACGAUCGGUAGCUGGUCUGAGAGGAUGAUCAGCCACAUUGGGACUGAGACACGGCCCAAACUCCUACGGGAGGCAGCAGUGGGGAAUAUUGGACAAUGGGCGAAAGCCUGAUCCAGCCAUGCCGCGUGAGUGAUGAAGGCCCUAGGGUUGUAAAGCUCUUUCGUCAGGGACGAUAAUGACGGUACCUGAAGAAGAAGCCCCGG
RNAcentral lists this ribosomal RNA (420 nucleotides) under uncultured bacterium. RNAcentral describes it as "bacterial SSU rRNA". It matches the Rfam family "Bacterial small subunit ribosomal RNA", at positions 29 to 496 of the family's 1533-position model. The record is from RNAcentral.